Uranotaenia lowii is the source of this 1232-nucleotide long non-coding RNA. RefSeq lists it as uncharacterized. The transcript is spliced from 5 exons. NCBI's taxonomy places the organism in Eukaryota, Metazoa, Arthropoda, Insecta, Diptera, Culicidae. The record is from RefSeq and is a predicted model, not a curated record.
GUGUACCCUCCUCCGUCGUAUCCCUCUGAUUCGUCGCAAUUCAUGAAUGCAUGUUUUAGAGCCGAAAAAUCACUUUCCACUUUAAUUGGCUACCCCGCAUAAUCGAAAACUGUACACUGAAUCUUCAGAACGAUUCUGUUCUGAUUACAUGUAUGGUGAAGAUUUGUGUUAUCGUCCUUUAAUACUUUUAUUUUUCACAAAUUUUUCGAUUCCUAAUGCGUCUUUGCUAGAAUUAACAAAAAUUAUUUAUGGAAGAUAAGUUGAAUGAUCUCAAGAACCAAAUUGAGUAUAUCUGCACCUGAGUGUAUCAUGUGUCGUCGCUAGAAGAAAAAAAGAAAAACAAAAAACCGACAACGAUUCAAAGUCGACGCGACGGAACCGAUACUGGAACCUGGAAAAAGUCUGGAGUUGGUGGUAAAAGCUCGAAAUGGCCAUACAGCUGCAGGAUCUGCACCCACGAGGUCAAAUUAUUUGGGAAAAAGACCAAAUGGUUGUUUCGCGGCUAAAAAAGACCUCCCGUAAGAAAAACAAUGCACGAAAUCGGGCGGCAGGAACCGGCCCCGGUAAUGUGUCGGAUCUUCAGCGCCUCAUGUGACAUUGGGUGCAGGACUUGUUUAAACCGAAACCAGGGCAUCAAAUUUUUCGGGAAGAUCCAUGGAAGCAACCGACUCCGAUUAUGUUCCAGGUCUUCUACGCCGUCUUUUACGUUAGAGCAAGAUAAGUGCCUGGGAGGAACCUGUAAAAUGUACAUGUAUGUACAUGUCGAGGAAAAAGAAAAAAACACGGAAGUUGAAGAUGGUCCCGAUCCCCGAUUCUCGAGUUUAAAAACAUCCGCCGAAAAGAACUCUGAAAUUUGACCUAAGCGAGAAGAAAAUACGGAACCGUAGGCUCAAAUCAAAGCCGAGAUAAAUUUUGUGCUGGUAGCCGUUUGAAAUAAUAUAUUUUCCAACGAGCCGCCUUGGAUUAAUAUAGGAAUUACUUUUGAUUGAUGCCUUAAUUGAUGGCGAAUCCUGAACAUAACCCUCAGCAUUAAUCUUUCCACAAAAAGUUUGAUGUAAAAUGGUCAUUAUAUAGGCAAUUCAAAUUAAUAUAGGUUCAUAUAUUUUAUAUUAUAAUCCAUGUUUACCAUUCUUGAAUAAAUAAUGUAUUUUUUUAGAAAUUGAAACAUGAAUCGUCUGCAUUUUCAUUUUUGAUCGUAAAAAGAUCUUUUGAAGAUACAAUGUAGCGUCCCA